ACCAAUUCUGGGGGAUUUAUAGUUCCUCUUGGCAUAAUGGCUCGGACGCAAUAGCAUUAAUGUGGCCAUCCUGAUUGAUGGUUAGCCUCAAUCCCAUUUAAUCCUGGAAACACCACAAACAUUU
Molecule: non-coding RNA, 124 nt
Organism: Cucumis sativus (cucumber)
Lineage: Eukaryota; Viridiplantae; Streptophyta; Magnoliopsida; Cucurbitales; Cucurbitaceae
Source: Rfam